AUAAGACUGGGAUAACGUUCGGGAAACCGGAGCUAAUACCGGAUAAUAUUUCGAACCGCAUGGUUCGAUAGUGAAAGGUGUUUGCUAUCACUUAUAGAUGGACCCGCGCCGUAUUAGCUAGUUGGUAAGGUAACGGCUUACCAAGGCGACGAUACGUAGCCGACCUGAGAGGGUGAUCGGCCACACUGGAACUGAGACACGGUCCAGACUCCUACGGGAGGCAGCAGCC
Molecule: ribosomal RNA, 229 nt
Filed under: uncultured Staphylococcus sp.
Lineage: Bacteria; Bacillati; Bacillota; Bacilli; Caryophanales; Staphylococcaceae
Description: partial 16S ribosomal RNA
Rfam family: Bacterial small subunit ribosomal RNA
Source: RNAcentral